AGAUUCCUCGGAGCUCGCGCGCGGACAGUACAAACCAUGCCACAACAUUUUACAAGACAAACUCAUCCUAACAACAAAGAAUACAAUGGAAAAAUAUGGUGUCUCUGCAGUAUACACCGGUGGAAACCUUCGAAUGAGAUACUGGAAUACUCCAACAUAGCUAAUGCAGGGGCCCGGAAGAGAGUGGGAAGAGAAUUGGUGGAAGGAUGGGAACCUUUUAGAGGGAGCAGAGAAGAAAAGGAUGGAAAAUGUUCGCGAGCCAUUAUAGGCCUCAAUGUGUUGUUACAACCACGAAGUGUAUUCACUUGACUGUGUGACUAGGCGGCACAUAACCCCCCGUGCAGGUCAUGCAUUCCGUGUGAAGACCCAACGCACAAGCAUUGCCUCGGGGGACCAAAUUUUAAUUUUUAUUUACUAGAGAUACCAUUAAAUAACAUAUACCUACA
Manduca sexta (tobacco hornworm) is the source of this 446-nucleotide long non-coding RNA. RefSeq lists it as uncharacterized. The record is from RefSeq and is a predicted model, not a curated record. The transcript is spliced from 2 exons. NCBI's taxonomy places the organism in Eukaryota, Metazoa, Arthropoda, Insecta, Lepidoptera, Sphingidae.